CUUUCAAAGCCCUCCCCUUGGUGUUUUUCUCAGGUACCUUUCCUGCAUUUCCACUGGGCUGUCCUGAGACACCCGAGUGGGUGUGAAGUGGUUUGGAUAUGCAUUUCCCUCAUGGCUAAUGAGAUUGAGCCUCCUUUCCUGGGCUUUGAAACCUUUGAUGCAUGCUGUGAAUCUUCAAAAGUCAGCACAGUAGGCAGCAGUUGUUCCUAAAGGGUAAGAAAGGACCUCAGCUUCCUAAAGGGACAAAAAGACCUCCAGGAUGAGGGACAGGCACUUUGGGAACUGUGGAAACCAGAAGGUAGCGGAAUGACAUAUAAAAAGUGCUAAAAUGAAAAUAACUACCAACUAAGAAUUCUACAUCCAGCAAAAUAUUCAUUUAAAAAUGAAGAAAUUAAGGCAAGAGUGGAAUUAAAA
Molecule: long non-coding RNA, 414 nt
Organism: Talpa occidentalis (Iberian mole)
Lineage: Eukaryota; Metazoa; Chordata; Mammalia; Eulipotyphla; Talpidae
Exons: 4
Source: RefSeq, a predicted model, not a curated record